Molecule: long non-coding RNA, 483 nt
Filed under: Mus spicilegus (steppe mouse)
Lineage: Eukaryota; Metazoa; Chordata; Mammalia; Rodentia; Muridae
Description: lncRNA (ENSMSIG00000018878.1)
Source: RNAcentral
UCUAGAUCUAGUUAAGUCAACAAAACCUCUCAGCCUCAAUGCUCACUGAAAAUGUGUCAAGAAGAGCCCCUAACUGGGCCCUAUGACUGGAGCUGAAGGGGCAGACUUAAAGAACAGUCUCUUUGAGAUGCACAGACACUUUUGGAUUCCAUCCUGUUAGACAAGCUGCACACAACAGAAUGACCAAGGGCAAGACCGAGAGACCAGGGAAACCGCUCAGAGAAUCCCUGUGGACUGGAGUCUCACGAGAGCAGACACUCUCCAGUGGAGGCAAACACCAUCUGCCUCAGCAGUCAUGGCUGACAGACCUCAUGAGGGGACCAGCAGCACCCUGAAUUAGCCAGAAGGAUGAGUACCGAAAUGGCCCACUUCAGGAAACAAAGGAGAGCUGUUCUCACUUUUGGGAAGCCCUGAGGAUCAGUGGCAAAACUGUGGACCUUGGUUGUGAAUAAACCCCUAGGUAAUUUCUCUACCUCCGGGAUC